UUUCCCACACACUAACACUAUCCUAUACACACUAGGGACAAUUUUUACAUUUACCAAGCCAAUUAACCUACAUACCUGUACGCCUUUGGAGUGUGGGAGGAAACCGAACAUCUCGGAGAAAACCCACGCAGGACAUGGGUAGAACGUACAAACUCCAUACGGAUAGCACCCGUAGUCAGGAUCAAAUCUAGAUCUCCAGCGCUGCAUUCGCUGUAAAGCAGCAAAUCUACCGCUGCGCCACCGUGCUGCAAAACAAGCUGCCAGAGGAGGUGGUUGAGGCAUGGACUAUCCCAACCUUUAUACAAAAGUUAGACAGGCACAUGGAUAGGAUUGGUUUUAAGGGAUGUCGGCUGAACGCGAGCAGGUGGGACUAAUUUAAUUGGGAUAUUUUGGUCAGUGUGGGCAUGAUUAGGCCCAAGGGCCUGUUACCACACUGUAUCACUCUAUGAUUGUGACUGUACGCGUCCUAAUGUUGACUCUCUCAACAAGACAUCAACGGCAUGGAAUGACCCUGAAAACAGGUCGGCGCAAAGCUAUCCAAGUCUACAUGAGGCUGCUGUUGAAUUUGCAGCAGCUCAGACAGUUCUGUGAGCUUCAGAAACACAGUUCGAUUGCUUAAAUACCAUGUCCUUAGAAACAGAAUUAUUCAUGUUUGGUUGUUGGCUGGAAUUGCCAUCUAUCAGCACAGUGAGUUUGGAAAUCAAACUGAAGAUGAACUUCAAAUGUUGCAUGUCUGUUGACAUCAAUUGGUCAGAUUUACUUCAGCAAAAAGGUACUGAGGCAUCGCAAAUCCCACAGCGAUAUCAGGAACUGUGUUUCCUAAUGGUUAUUAAGAUACUGUGUGUAGGAAUAAAACUGCAGAUGCUGUUUUGCACGGAAGAUAGACGGACACAAAUGCCAGAGUAGCUCAGCAGGACAGGCAGCAAUUUUAGUUUAGUUUAGUUUAUUUAGAGUUCACUGCAGAAACAGGCCCUUCAACCCACCGAGCCAGCACCGACCAGCGAUCCCUGCAUAUCAAUAUUAUCAUGCACACGACGGAAAAUUUACAUUUAAAUACCAAGCCAAUUAACCUACAAACCUGUAUGUUUUUGAAGUGUGUGAGGAAACCGAAGACCUCGGAGAAAACCCACGCAGGUCACGGGGAGAACGUACAAACUCCGUACAGACAGCACCCGUAGUCAGAAUCGAACCCAGGUAUCUCGCGCUGUAAAGCAGUAGCUCUACCACUACGCCACCGAGCACUCUGGAGAAAAAGACUGAAGAAAGGUUCUGAGAUGAAACGUCAACCUAUUUAUUUUCUCCAGAGAUGCUGCCUGACCUGCUGAGUUCCUCCAGAAUUUUGUGUAUUUUUUUGUCAUUAAGAUUCUCCGAGAAAUAGUCAGAACAUUGUUCUACUCCAUCCUAAACUGACUUUCAGAUCCACAGUGUAACUGCCCCACAUCAGCAGUUAGUUAAAUUCUGAACCUCACGGUUUUUGGUUCCUACCUGUACUAGUGGCGUUCCUAAGGGCAGAACUAAAUUGCCGACAGUUUCCGGGUGGCACGGUUGUUGGCGCACCUUGGAGGGCAGCAAAUAAAAAGGAAGCAACACAAAGGGGAUAGAUGCACCGCCAAAAUAAGUUAAAUGUUAAAUAAUCAAGAUCAUAAAGAAAGACAGAAGCCAUGACUAAGAAGAAACCAAGAAAUACCUCUUAAGUAGUUGCAAAGCCAAAGGAAGCCGGUGUGUUUUUUUCUGCAAAUCCUUGGAGUCAGCCAAUUGAUCUGUGCUUUUUAAGCAAGAAAAUACUGCAACUGUCAUGUUUGCCCAGCAGGGAGUUCGAGCUGGCAGGAAAUGGAGCAUCAAAAGAAGAACUAGGAGGUCCACACUGAGAACCAUCUCAUGGUGUUCUCUUUCAGAGCAAAGAGGCAUCAAGAGACAGUGAGCAGCAGAACACAACAAGAGACACAACAAGAAAGAACUUAAUAAAUCCCAUCAUUAACAUUUAAAU
Leucoraja erinaceus (little skate) is the source of this 1987-nucleotide long non-coding RNA. RefSeq lists it as uncharacterized. The record is from RefSeq and is a predicted model, not a curated record. The transcript is spliced from 3 exons. NCBI's taxonomy places the organism in Eukaryota, Metazoa, Chordata, Chondrichthyes, Rajiformes, Rajidae.